GUAGGUGAACCUGCGGAAGGAUCAUUAACACGUACUUAUAUCCAAUAUAAACCCAAACGCGAACCAUCAAACUCCCAACCUUUACAGGUUGGCUAACCUCGUGUUCUAUUAUAUUAUGUAAUAGUUAACACGUUUACCCAUAUUUUUACCCCAAUACAACACACACAUCUAUCAGCCUUCUCUAUACAACUGGUUUGUGUAUGGAACUGAACCUUACUUCUGAGCCAGAGAAUUCAUUCUUUUGACUCUUUUGAUUCCUUAAUGGAAGCAAUAAUACAAUAGUGUAAAACACAACUCUUAGCAAUGGAUAUCUAGGUUCUC
This 321-nucleotide unclassified non-coding RNA is filed under the name rhizosphere metagenome. RNAcentral describes it as "partial ribosomal RNA internal transcribed spacer region". The record is from RNAcentral.